This 322-nucleotide ribosomal RNA is filed under the name uncultured bacterium. RNAcentral's name for it is "bacterial SSU rRNA". It matches the Rfam family "Bacterial small subunit ribosomal RNA", at positions 29 to 334 of the family's 1533-position model. The record is from RNAcentral.
AACGAACGCUGGCGGCGUGCUUAAGACAUGCGAGUCGAACGAGAAAGUCACUUCGGUGGCGAGUACAGUGGCGCACGGGUGAGUAACGCGUGGGUAAUCUGCCCUUUGGUCUGGAACAACCCCGGGAAACUGGAGCUAAUUCCAGAUAAGACUACGACCUCUUCGGGGGAUGUAGAAAAAGGUGGCCUCUCCUUGGAAGCUAUCGCCGAAGGAUGAGCCCGCGUCCCAUUAGCUUGUUGGUAGGGUAACGGCCUACCAAGGCUUCGAUGGGUAGCUGGUCUGAGAGGAUGAUCAGCCACACUGGGACUGAGACACGGCCCAG